Gadus macrocephalus (Pacific cod) is the source of this 1353-nucleotide long non-coding RNA. RefSeq lists it as uncharacterized. The transcript has 6 exons. The record is from RefSeq and is a predicted model, not a curated record. Lineage: Eukaryota; Metazoa; Chordata; Actinopteri; Gadiformes; Gadidae.
UCCUACUUCCUCUGCAGGAGUAGAGGUGGAGUGCCCCCCCUGCAUGCGGCGGUACCCCGCGGAGCUGUGCCCCGAGGUGCUCUUCCGACCCGGUUACCUUCUUCCCGAGGAAGGGGCGUGCCGGCGCAGAGAGCGCGAGGCGCACCCCCGCCGGCAGGAUACCGACCGGCACCUCCCAUAGUCCAGGACACCUACGGCGAAUAUGAAUACGACGACGGCUACGGAACGGCUUACGAUGACCAGGGCUAUGAAUCCUACGACAACAACUACAGUAAUCAAGGACAGAACUCCGAGGACUACUAUGAAUACGGUCACAGUGGAGAGUCGUAUGAAUCCUAUGGCCAGGAGGAGUGGGCUAACAACCGCACAAAGGCCCCGUCAGCGCGCGCAGCCAAGGGCGUGUAUCGGGAUCAGCCAUACUCCAGAUAUUGAACUGUUUAUACAUCCGGCACCUGAGUCUCCGCAGCUGUUCCAGCUCAAGUGGCUUCAAGGAUUGCACCAGAAAAUCCUCCUUUUGAUUAUCCCAUGACUGUUAAAGGAUGAACCAGACACACGGGCAUCUCCUCCAUUUAAAGUCCUGUGCCGUCACCGGACCCUUCGGGGUUUAGACAGAAAUAAAUGAACCCGGCAGUGGCGACGCCCCUUGGAAAGGUUGACGCCCCGUCAUGGGACUCCAGGGCCCCCCGGUUGGUUGUGGACGGCCCCGCCCCCACGCGGGAAACAAUCUGAACGGCGGGCAUGACGCCGCCACGCCCCCCCCGUCGCCUGAGGUCUCGGCCCGCGGGGACGGGGGGGGGGGGGGAGCAAAACGAAGAAAGACCAAAAAGGAGCUAAUGUGUGCAUCACACUUCACCGUCUCCGGAAGAGGUUUGCGGGGGGAGGGGGGCGGGGAAGCCGCUGGGUGAAUGGACUGGCCUCGUCCGCCGGGGACACGCCGGAGAGCCUUCUGUCAUGGAGGGACGCAGGCGGGGUAUCGCUGCUCACACAUUCGGCAUUAGCGUGUGGGGGAAUGAGUGCGUGUGCUUGUGUGUGUGUGCAUGUGUGUGCUGAACGGAGCGUGAACCCCUCAAACCGCACGCACACUCACACAUGUCCUUGUCUUGUUGGUUCAGGCUGUUAAGAGGGUUGUGACCCCAUAAUCAGAGACAGGAAGCACUGAUUUAAUGUACGGGAGAUGGGGGGGGAUAAUGCGAUGCGCCCUCGGGUGUGACAUCAUACUUUCACCCAACUACGACAACCAUGUAAUUGCACCUUGUGUUGUUCAUUAACCUAUAUCCAAUCGAAGCAGAUGAAUAAAUGAUCCUGAAGGUGCCACGUAGGUUUUCCGAGAGAGAGAGAGAGGGAGAGAGAGAG